UAAAUUUUCCUAGAAAAAAAUGUAAUAGCCAGGAUUAUAGGCUCCUGAUUUUCCCUUAGCAUUUAAGGACAAAUCUAAAAUACAGUUAAACUUUGCCUUUGAUUAUGACAGGUUUGAGUAAAAAAAGUUCUGUAUUACCUUUCCAGCCCAGUAACUUUUAGGAAGCAUUACACUGUGGCAGUCUACUACAGUAGAGUAAAAUACCAUUUAUUAGCACCUCCAAGCCAGGACCUAGAGCCCUGCCAUUACAUAUAUACUUGAACUAUUUCAAGCAUAAAGUCAGUAAACACUAAUCCCUGUUAAUAGUUUAUAGCAUACCAAGAAUUUAAUUAAUCUUUAAAACUACCCUUGUAUAAUUAACCGUUUCAACAGCAUCACCACUUGGGGUUCUACUUUUUUAAGUCUUAAGUCAUGCACUUUUGAGUUUGUACCUUUUAAACAUGCCAUUAUUGGUAUCCACAUUACUCCUAAGAGCACUACUAAAUAAAGCAUGGCUACUCCCUCCCCACUAAGAUAGCACUGCUUAUUCUACAGGAUCGUUAUCCUGAGUACAUACUUCUGUUGAGGUUUAAAAUUAAUUUUCUAAGUUGCCCAAGUAUGAAACCACUGUUUUACUUUCAGAUUUCUUUUCCAUAAUCCAGUUUUUAGUCUUCAAUCAGAAUGGACAUACAGAUUUAUAGGUGGUCUUUAAUGCUCUGAUAGGAGUAUUUGAAACAUGAAUUAUAUUCUUUGAACUGUUUUGUACUGAUGGGAUGGGUUA
This 760-nucleotide long non-coding RNA is filed under the name Bos taurus (domestic cattle). RNAcentral's name for it is "long non-coding RNA NONBTAT017088". Lineage: Eukaryota; Metazoa; Chordata; Mammalia; Artiodactyla; Bovidae. The record is from RNAcentral.